UGGUGGAGUGAUUUGUCUGCUUAAUUGCGAUAACGAACGAGACCUUAACCUGCUAAAUAGCCCCUAUUGCUUUGGCAGUAGGCUGGCUUCUUAGAGGGACUAUCCGCUCAAGCGGAUGGAAGUUUGAGGCAAUAACA
Molecule: ribosomal RNA, 137 nt
Filed under: uncultured eukaryote
Lineage: Eukaryota
Description: partial 18S ribosomal RNA
Rfam family: Eukaryotic small subunit ribosomal RNA
Source: RNAcentral